AGUAAAAUGGCUGAUAAAAGUGAUAAAUUGUAAAUUUAUUUAUGAAAUAAUAAUUUCUUUUACUA
RNAcentral lists this transfer RNA (65 nucleotides) under Strongylogaster xanthocera. RNAcentral describes it as "tRNA-Tyr". Lineage: Eukaryota; Metazoa; Arthropoda; Insecta; Hymenoptera; Tenthredinidae. The record is from RNAcentral.